GACGAACGCUGGCGGCGUGCUUAACACAUGCAAGUCGAACGGAAAGGCCCCUUUGGGGGUACUCGAGUGGCGAACGGGUGCGUAACACGUGCGUAACCUGCACUUGACUUCGGGAUAACUUCAAGAAACUGGGGCUAAUACCGGAUAGGCAUAAUUGCUGCAUGGUGGGGGUUGGAAAGCUUCGGCGGUUUUGGGUGGACUCGCGGCUUAUCAGCUUGUUGGUGGGGUAGUGGCUUACCAAGGCUUUGACGGGUAGCCGGCCUGAGAGGGCGACCGGCCACACUGAGACUUAGAUACGGCCCAGAUUCCGACUGGAGGGAGAAGUGGGGAAGAUUGCACAAGGGGCGGAAGGCGGAUGCAGCAACGCCGCGGGCGGGAUGACGGUCUUCGUGUUGUAAACCGCUUUCAGCAGGGGCGAAGCUUGUGGUGACGGUACCUGCAGAAGAAGCACCGGCUAACUACGUG
This 465-nucleotide ribosomal RNA is filed under the name uncultured bacterium. Its description in RNAcentral is "partial 16S ribosomal RNA". It matches the Rfam family "Bacterial small subunit ribosomal RNA", at positions 28 to 507 of the family's 1533-position model. The record is from RNAcentral.